GAGCUUUCCUUUCCUCCUGAUGGGCCUGUGAGGGAGGGAAGGAGGAUGCUGGCUAAACAGAAGCAUUUCCUUUUUUGUGCUGUUGGCAUUAAAAUGCAGGUUUGUCUGUUUUGGUCCUAAGCAGGUCCAGUGAAUCACUUGUGAAGUAGAUCCAAAGUCCUGGGACCUCACUGUGCUGCAGCUGCCAAGAUACACAUGGUGGAGUCCCGUAUGGAUUCCUCUCCAGGAAUACCCUGCACUGGUCUAGCUGGACAAAAAGCUUUUGCAGAUUUCUGUGGGCUACUCUUUUACUUUCACUGACUUUUACAAGUGGGAGGACAGGAGCCAGCUGGAGUUCCUGGUGUCCCUCAAAGUUGAGGUGUGUCCUUUUUUUUAUGGAAAUGAAGCAAAUAGCCUUUUAAUGGCUUUUGUUCAGUUAUAUGCAACUUGCUCUGCUAAAGGGUGAUAAAAGGUCCCCUUUUUCAUGAACAAACACAACUGGAAGAAGUCACUCAGAUUGUCAAGUAAAUUUUAUUCUCCUCUCUGAAGGCAACAGGAGGGCCCCUAGAAUUAAGACAAAUGUAGCUCAUGUCCUUUUAAUAGUGAUUUGAUUAUUCUUUCAUUACAAGUAACUAGUUCCCUUUUCUAAUUAUAUGUCUUGCUUUUAUCUAAGAAAAAUUACCCAGUUUAUGGGAGUGGACCAUUAAAAUUGCUCGUCCAUUAACAGUUUAUUGUAGUGCUAUGAGAUUGCUGGUUUCAGAAAACAUCUGCAUUGCAAUAGCCUGGUAUAGAUUUUUGGUUCUUCUGCCGUUUUGCCAAUGGUCAUCAUUGACAAAUGAGAAAUAGGCAGUGAGGAUGGAUGUGCAAGGCAAAAAUGAUAUGAGAGGUCAGAGAGCACUAACACUGCACACAUUUAGUGUGCCUUUUAGUGAAUGAGAAGUAUUGGAAGGGAAAGGGGCACUAGGGAAUAAGACCAAAAUGCAUGAAGAUGCACUGGUACUUGGAAAGGCUUCAGGUUUCGUAAAGGUUUAGUGAAUUCAGGGAGAGCUCUGUCUGUGUUUGACCUCUACACUUCUUGUUUUUUCUCUCUUCUUCUCUUUCCUCUGCAAUUGCUGUAAGAGCAUGUUAUUCAAAUGGGAGAAGGGGCAUCAGUCAGCCAGGUGACACAGCAGGACAGGAGAGGGGGCAUUGGAGUUGUAGUUGGGAGCAUGAUUUGAGAAAGCCUUGGGUCUUGCAGACAAGUCACUGCAGGCAGGUUACUGCAGGCCAUUCCUGUUGGUUUUGUGAUGGGCUAGGGAUGCCAGCAGGCAAAGAUGGUGCAGAGAGGUAAUAUCUCAUACUGUAUCAAUUAACAGUUUGAAAAAUAGACAAGCAUUUGAUCUGAAUGUACUAGUAUUGUUUCUCUGUAUAAUCUAAAUGUACUUUUUUGUUCUGUGUCAUAUAAUAUUAAGACUGAUGGAUGUCUGAAGGUCAAGCAUUCAUCUAUACAGGUAAACUGACUGGUAAAGGAAUUGUGAAUAGAUAGUUAUACCUGUAAACUAUAAGUAAACAGGUAAUUCCUUACAUGGAAACUCCAUUCUAUAAAGAAAGCCACUUUUAUUCUGAAAUACAGUGCAUGCUAGGGAAGCAAUAAAAACAAACUAUGAUUAUCAGACUAUUCCCAGUGUAGAACAGCCAUAAGAAUAAAGUAAGGCAAGGGAGAAGACAAAAAAGAUACUGAUGGAAAGAAGGCAGUCAAGUGGUUAAGUAGAGAUACCUGUGGCAAGAUGUACUAUAACUAUCCUUUCUCAUCUGAAUUUUACAGACUGAAAUUAAUUGUGUGGUAGCCCUCAGAAAUUUGUUCAAAGGUGAGAUAUUUUGGUAUGGAAAAGUUCAUGCUCUUCCAUCAGCAUAAUGUGGCAAUAGGAUGUGUAUGUAUUGAAUUUUUCCAUACGAUUUCUAAUGACAAGGUUCUUGAUUAUGAGUUUAAUUGGCACUCAGCACUGUCUUCCAUAUACAAAAAUCAGAAGUCUGUGGACUGUGAAAAACACGUAUUAAAUGUCUCACUGCUUAUGAUUUUCUAUCUGGUACACUAUUAAUAGUGAUUUAUAUGUAGAAUAAAAUAAUUAUUUAGUGGAAGAUGGGCAUAGCAUAUGCAUAUAUAUAUUUUAGGCUGAAAUGCCCUUUGACAAGCCAAGAACAGGGCACUAUUCAUACAUCUUUAGUAAGUGAAUUAAUUUUGGCAGUUAACAUACUGCAUCUUUGCUUUACUGAAAUAUUUUAUCACUGUUGUACUUGUCUGCCAUCAUUAUAGGCAAACUACUUAAUGAUGGCCUGUGGUAAUGCAAAUUAUAUCACUUAAUUACUUGCAUUAAUGUUGUGGGAAGUUUCAGGUACGCAGGGUGAAUGUCCAUGGAGCUACAAGAAAGGAAAAAAGCUUCAGACAAGGGAAAGAAGUGGCUGAGUGUGGGGUUGCCUCCUGCAUUGGUGGGUUGAGCUUACCAGUGGGAGGUUUUGCCUUCCAGAAAAACCAGAGGAGAGAUGCAACCUCCCUUUUCCUAUUUUCAUGUUCUACUGUGUAUGAGGGAGCAGAGAUUUCUGUUGAGGUGAGAAGCUAUGCUUGGAACAUGGAGAGCAUGGUAACAUGCUGAUGUUGGCAGAUGAAGCCACUUCUGCAGCAGGAGUUACACGUCUGAGCAGGGAGAUUCAGAUGUGGUCCUGAUCCAUGGCUGAGUACAUGAGGAGUUCAGUCUGAAGGUGCUAGAUGUUCACAGUGUUAAACAUUGAUGCUGGGAGGAGUUUUCACAUCUAAUUUCCAUGUGUUUGAACACUGGAGACUUCCAGAUAGAGCACACAGAACAGCUGUAAGCAAAUGCCAGUAUUUAUUUAAUUCUGCUCCUUUAUGGCGUUCAUCAAAGUGUUGUUUGUGUAACCUUCAGUAAAGUGUAUGUGAAUGUUAUGUAGUUAGCAUUGCUCCUCUUCUUAAAAACAGGCAUUUCUAUGAAUUGGCCUUAUUUCCUUUUUAAAUACAAUGUUUCUAUACAUAUUUACCUGAGCUUAAAAGCUAUGCAUGGGUCAUUAAAAUAAUAAGAUAAUUAAGGUGAAAAUUUUGGAAAUAUAAGGGGAAAUAUAACAUAAAAUGUUAUAUUAAAUGUAUCAGAUAUUUCUUAGGGUUUUUUUUCUAUUGUCACAGAUUACCACCUUUGUUAGCUAUUUCAUUAAAAUGUUUUCCAGGAGGAAUGGUAUCUUACUUUCCUGGAUGUGAUAUUGAAGGAGUACUGGUUGACCAGCUUGCUUUAUUGUACCCAUGUUACUGUCAUCACAGCUAGCUACACCUCUGUGGACUCUUUAUUUUCUCAUAUAUCUGCAAUGGGAGACUUGGUACUGGACACUGCUUGCAAGGUGAGACUAUUGAUUUAAACAGUGGUUUAAUGCUUUCAGGACUUUUCUCAGUACAAUUCUUUCUGAUAUUCUGUCAGCUUUAUAAAAUGACACUGAAUAUUGUGCACAUGUCUUACUUUGCUGACCAAGUCAAUACUUAAAUCAUUUUGUCCUAGACUAUAUUUGAUAACAUGGCAUUUCUUCUGUUUUGUGUUGUCCAUUCAACCAGCAUUUGUUAGGUCUGUAUGAAGGUUUUCCACAACCUUGUCUCAGAGUUCUGUUUUGACUGUCAGAUAACAUUGUGUCACUUGUAAACUUGCCCUGUUCACACCCUUUUCCAUACCCUUAAUCAAGACAUUCAGCAGUAGCUUACAUCUUUAGGCACCAUGCAGUUUAACCUGAGUGAAAAGUAAAGCCUGUAUUCCCACGUUUUGGCUUGUAUCAGUGACCAUAGCACAACUUGAUGCAUCUGAGAAGGUGGACAAAUAAAUCUUGCCCCGUAGACUUCAGCAUAGUUUGAAGUUUGAACCAGUUUGGAUAAGAAAAAAAUAUGCUGUGAGCAGCUGUGGUGGCAUCAGAGUCUCAAAGUCUCCAAGAAACCUGUAGGAGUUGAAAGAGCGGAGCCCACAGAUGAGUGUUUCCUGCAGCCUCAGAGCCAAGCACUUGUUGUGUGGGUCAGAGCACCCCAGGCUGCCCCGGCUAGCUGCUGACCCUGUGGGUGGGCAGAGGAAAGGGGGCUGUGCUGGGCUCUCUGCGAGUGGCUGAGGCUGUGCCCUGCAGACUCCAUUGCUCUGUGUUUUUUCCUCUCCUUCCAUCAGUCUUUGUAGUCAUUACUGGAGAGAUGUAUUUCUGUGCACAGCUUGUCAGUCAGCAUGCAGGAGGGAGUGCGGAAGUCCACAAUCCCUGGAAACUUUGCUUUCUUUGCUGUUAUAUUCCCAAAGCUUCGACAUAGGAAUACUUAGUUCCUGGCAACUUUUACAUUCCCGAAUGAUUGCCUGGCUCCAACUCAGCCAUGGGCUUUGCACUCUUCUCAUGUUGCUGAAUUAUUGAUGCUGCUUCAUUGCAAAAGAGCUCCUUAAUGCCCAUGUUGCAGCACGGGAGCCUGAUGUGAGACAUUCCCUUCUGUAGUUCAUCUCAUCCCUCAGACACACAUAGGCAACUUGCAGAGGGAAUAGGUUGGGGUGAAGGAGGAGAGAAUAUAUGAGCAGAUGGGGAAAAAUGGGAUCAAAUAUCAAAACACCAGGAUAGGAGCCACAGCUGAGAAAUGGGAACAAAAAGACGUGUUUCAUUAGCUGGAAGGAGAUGGCUAUGUCUAGUCCAAUUUGGCAAGGAAGAUCCACAUCAGUUUUCCACAUUUUGCUAUGGCAGCUUCUGAGGGAGUUGUUCCUGCAGGCCUGUCUCCCCUCUCAGGUUUGCCUUUAAUUAUGAACAGCAGAAGUAUGCUGGGGGAAGGCAGUGCAGGGGAUGUUGGAAGGCUCUGUGCUUGUUCACUGAAGCAUGAGAACAAAUUCUGUGCACAUUUCAAGGCAGGAGCAUGUCUGGUUGCCUAUAUCUGCCUCACAUUCUACCUUACAAUUCACUCAUGCUGCUUGUGCAAGUGCAGCCUAAACCCAAAUGCUAGUCCAUUUGUAUCUACUUGCUUCCUUCCACCAAAACAGCCUCAAUACCUCUUGAGCCUAAAUUUGUCUUUGUUCAACAAAAAAAAAAAUAUCCCCAGUUCCUUAGAAUAUCCCAGCAAGAUCCUCAUAAGACUUUUAGUACUAGCACAAUAACUUUUUUACUGGUGAAAGUAACUCAUACUUCUUGGCAUCAAACUGCUUUUUCAGCCCUGCAUCACCUUAAUAAGGAUGAUUGUGCUUAUGUGAAAAUAUAAGGUGUUCCUAGUUGGCUGCUAAAUUAUGGGGCUUCUAAGUUUUUAGCAGAAAUUCUGGUGUUAAUCCCUAAAUACAUGAUUUUAUACUCUAUGAUCUUCAGUUUUAGUCUGUUUUACUCUUAGCCUACCUGUGCAAUACUCUGAUCUUCCUCUGCACUGACCCAGCCUUUGAAUCUUGUGAUAUGCUCGUUUCAUUAGCAUGUUUUAAUUUUCUUUUGCCAAGGUUGUUAAUGAAAGUAUUAAAUAAGAUCAGUUCCAAGGUCCCAAGCUUGAAGAAGCUUUAAUUGGAUGUGCAGGGUACAUUUUGUAGAUAAACAAAAGACACAGCAGAGAUCCUUAUGGGAGCAAAUCAGCCUAAUCCUGAUGUCUUCUGUAGAGCUAUUCUGCUUAUUCAGAGGAUGCUGCUUCAUUUCAGUCAUUUGUCCUGCACACAGAUAGCAAAACAGCCCCCUAUCCUGUGGCCUGGGUAGCUUUAGAAGGACUAUGAAAUAUGAUUUGGAUGAAUCAUGAUUGAAUGGACAGCACUGAUGUUGAGGUGGAAGUAGUGCAAGAAGAAAUACUCUUGCAGCAACUUUGUAAGGGAAAAAUAAGCAAGAGGGUAUUGUGUAGAUGUGGGAAAAGGUAGAGGAUACACACCCUGAGUAGGCAGAAGAGGAGCCUCACAGAAAUGCUAUACAUUCUUGGGGCCAUCAAGUUAGAAAUGCAUUGUGCUCCUGGCAUGGCUCAAAGAGCCACUUGUGAACUACAGAUAUGUCUUUAUAUAAACCACCAUAUCUUCUUGUGUAUGGAAUACUAUUGUCAUGAUUCAUGUGUACCUUUUACCUUAUUUUAUGUGCAGAAUUAAUUGCACUUUCUGUGGAAAGGAAAUACAUUUUCAGUGGGGUUUUUAAAAAUUAAAUAGCAGGGAGCACAUAAACACUAAGCAAAACUACAUUACUAAGCAUCUGAAAAGCAGUUAAGAGUAUUAAAACCAUGAACUUCAGGAAAGUUAUCUGCCCCUCCAGGAUCCCCCAAAGUUGUUGUGCUAUAGGGUAUUACACUCUUCUGUCUCCUCUUUAUCACACUGGUGAUCUGGGGACACACAAAGGACAAAACCAAGAAGUUACUUUCCAAUUUACAAUGUUAACCUAGUGCAGUUGUCCUUUAGCCUUUUCCUUUAGGUCUUCUUUCUCACAGACUCUGUCCAGACCUAAACAAACCUGAAGCUACAAGAAUUUAAUCUUUCCAAAUUCUUCCUUGUUCCCUGAGCCUAAAGGCAGUUGUCUAAAGGCAGUUCUUUUCUGAUAACUCAAGGAGAAAUUUAUUAAACAUGGCAUGGAUUCCUAGAUAGCCAGGGAAAAAGCAGAGGGUACAAGACUGUGAACUGGGAGAGGCCUCAGGGGUUGUGUGUGUCUCCGUUAGGAAGGUUGAUGGCUGCUUUUGGUAUGGGGUGGCAAUGUGCAUGAGGCAAAUUAGUAAAUGGGCAUAUGUAGGGCUGCCCUCAGUUUGAAGGAUCUCACUGUCAAACUUGUUGCAAGCAGGCAAAACUGGAUUUUUUAAAAUGAGGAUAAGGACAGAGAAGGAAAAAUGCAUCCUAUUCCUCCAGAACACCAGGCCCUAGGCACAAGCACACUCCCUCCCAGUCUGAGCACCACCAGAGAGCUGUGUCAAUGAGCAAUCUUCAUGCUAAGGGACAGCAAUACUUCUGGUAUAAGUCAAUUUAAUUCAACCCAGUCAGUGUAAAGUACUACAGGAAAGCUGCAGAGAUUUCCCUAUAGCAACACUCAAAAUUGCUUUCCUUUAGCAAGUGUCUGAAUAGCCUGACCUCAGCAGUUUCCCUCAUAAUAAUGAUUUAUGCUGCCUCAAAACUGAGGGCACCAAUUAAACUGUAAGCCAGCAACACAUCUCUAGAAAUUUUCUUCCUCUGUUUACAGUAAGCACUUUUAGAAUAAAAGAACUUUACCUUCCAA
This is a long non-coding RNA of Passer domesticus (house sparrow), 7161 nucleotides long. RefSeq lists it as uncharacterized. The transcript has 2 exons. Lineage: Eukaryota; Metazoa; Chordata; Aves; Passeriformes; Passeridae. The record is from RefSeq and is a predicted model, not a curated record.